RNAcentral lists this ribosomal RNA (484 nucleotides) under uncultured bacterium. RNAcentral's name for it is "partial 16S ribosomal RNA". It matches the Rfam family "Bacterial small subunit ribosomal RNA", at positions 30 to 507 of the family's 1533-position model. The record is from RNAcentral.
AUUGAACGCUGGCGGCAGGCCUAACACAUGCAAGUCGAGCGGAUGAGGGUUUCUUGCUCCUGGAUUCAGCGGCGGACGGGUGUGUAAUGCCUAGGAUUCUGCCUGGUAGUGGGGGAUAACGUCCGGAAACGGGCGCUACUACCGCAUACGUCGUGCGGCAGAAGGUGGGUGAUCUUCGGACCUCUCGCUGUCGGAUGAGCUUAGGUCGGGUUAGCUAGUUGGUGGGGUAAAGGCCUACCAAGGCGACGAUCCGUAACUGGUCUGAGAGGAUGAUCCGUCACACUGGAACUGAGACACGGUCAAGAGUCCUACGGGAGGCAGCAGUGGGGAAUAUUGGACAAUGGGCGAAAGCCUGAUCCAGCCAUGCCGCGUGUGUGAAGAAGGUCUUCGGAUUGUAAAGCACUUUAAGUGGGGAGGAAGGGCAGUAAGUUAAUACCGUGCUGUUGUGACGUUACCAACAGAAUAAGCACCGGCUAACUUCGUG